RNAcentral lists this unclassified non-coding RNA (469 nucleotides) under Hevea brasiliensis (rubber tree). Lineage: Eukaryota; Viridiplantae; Streptophyta; Magnoliopsida; Malpighiales; Euphorbiaceae. The record is from RNAcentral.
GAAGUUCCAGUAGAUAUUUCUUACCAUUUCCCUUACUAAUUAGUUUAUCCUUGUUGAUUUUUAGUUCUAAAUGUCUAUUCCAGUUUUAAUCUGUUUGCUAGUAUGAAGCUGCUUGUGAGCUGAUGUUAAGCCACUAUUUUUAUCCUUGUUUAGUUAUUUAUUUUUGGGUUAUCAUUUAUGCCUAAAUGAGUGCAGGGUAUAUAUUGUUACUGUUGAGAAAUGUCUAUUGUAUGUCCUUGUGCUCUUGGGUUUGUGAAGGGAGAAGACUUGUAGAGUUUUCAUUGGUAUUGUCUGAUUGGGUGAAGUCUAUUGUUUUAAGAAAACUGAUAUAGUGGUUCUAGCAUUUACCUAGUUGGAAGUUCUCUAUAAUUUUUUUUUCUCGUGGUUGAUGGAUGCACUAGAUUAAUGGGUUGAUUCGGUUCUCCUUUCCUUUUUUCCCCCUUUUCUAUACAUUUUUUUAAUACUUCCU